This 76-nucleotide transfer RNA is filed under the name Faecalibacterium prausnitzii. RNAcentral's name for it is "tRNA-Trp". It matches the Rfam family "tRNA". From Rfam's summary of the family: Transfer RNA (tRNA) molecules are approximately 80 nucleotides in length. The record is from RNAcentral. Lineage: Bacteria; Bacillati; Bacillota; Clostridia; Eubacteriales; Oscillospiraceae.
ACCGUUUUAGCUCAACUGGCAGAGCGCCGGUCUCCAAAACCGGAUGCCGCAGGUUCGAUUCCUGCAAACGGUGCCA